AAAAGCUGACAAUGCCCAGCACCAUUCAGCAGUAAGCAUUCAAAUGGAUUUUUCCUCACCGCGUUUGCAGGCCCGGCACAGUCUCAGUUCCCCACAGCACAGAGAGGAAGCAAGGUCUUUGCAUGCCCUGUUCACUUGGCCAAACAUUGCCCUAGAUGUGCAAUUCAACCCAUAUAAAGCAAGCGUAAUUCAAGAGCCCUGACUCUUUCACCAUUUCAUGAUGGCUUAUUACUCGCACACGGCAUUGUCAGGUUCCAGCAACUCUGUGUGCAGCAGGCAGAAAUGCAGUGUUUAUCUCUGACAGGCAAACAUUCUUAGGCUCAUCGGCAUGAGUAUCCACGCUGAACUGGCUAUCGGGGAAGUAGAUCCCUGCAUGGGAAAGUCAAGGGCCAUCUGCCCAUCUGAAACUGUCUUUGGCUGCAUGGUUGUGAAUCCAGGUGACAGUGAAAAUGAAGAAGUGGUGAUUGUCCCUGCAUGUUUUCUCUGAAGGGUUAACUAAAAAAAAAAAAAAAAAAAGCCUUUGUGUCUGUUUCGAGUUCUCCAGUUGAAAUACUGUACUCAUUGAACUGCAAGAAAUAAAACCUGCAAGUAGGCA
This 595-nucleotide long non-coding RNA is filed under the name Homo sapiens (human). RNAcentral's name for it is "long intergenic non-protein coding RNA 2397". Lineage: Eukaryota; Metazoa; Chordata; Mammalia; Primates; Hominidae. The record is from RNAcentral.